GAUGAACGCUGGCGGCGUGCCUAAUACAUGCAAGUCGAGCGAACAGACGCGGAGCUUGCUCCUCUGACGUUAGCGGCGGACGGGUGAGUAACACGUGGAUAACCUACCUAUAAGACUGGGAUAACUUCGGGAAACCGGAGCUAAUACCGGAUAAUAUAUUUAACCGCAUGGUUCAAUAGUGAAAGACGGUUUUGCUGUCACUUAUAGAUGGAUCCGCGCCGCAUUAGCUAGUUGGUAAGGUAACGGCUUACCAAGGCGACGAUGCGUAGCCGACCUGAGAGGGUGAUCGGCCACACUGGAACUGAGACACGGUCCAGACUCCUACGGGAGGCAGCAGUAGGGAAUCUUCCGCAAUGGGCGAAAGCCUGACGGAGCAACGCCGCGUGAGUGAUGAAGGUCUUCGGAUCGUAAAACUCUGUUAUUAGGGAAGAACAAAUGUGUAAGUAACUAUGCACGUCUUGACGGUACCUAAUCAGAAAGCCACGGCUAACUACGUG
RNAcentral lists this ribosomal RNA (497 nucleotides) under uncultured bacterium. Its description in RNAcentral is "partial 16S ribosomal RNA". It matches the Rfam family "Bacterial small subunit ribosomal RNA", at positions 28 to 507 of the family's 1533-position model. The record is from RNAcentral.